Daphnia magna is the source of this 1017-nucleotide long non-coding RNA. RefSeq lists it as uncharacterized. Lineage: Eukaryota; Metazoa; Arthropoda; Branchiopoda; Diplostraca; Daphniidae. The transcript is spliced from 2 exons. The record is from RefSeq and is a predicted model, not a curated record.
CAAUAGGUGGAGUUGUUGCCCAGCGGACUUUUUUUUUUUUGCCUUUCUGGCGCAACAACAAAUGAUUUUUCAAUCGCUUCGGGAGUUAGGAACGAGUCAAGGGCGAAAACGACGCUAGAAAAAAAGAAAACCCGGAGUUGAUGAACGAUUGCGCCAUCGACAGGAGAAACCCGAAAUCGUUUUACCCCUCGUCUCGAACGCUUUUGUUUUAUUCAUCCUUUUUGAAUUCUCAGGUUGUGGGCGUUUGCUUUUUAAAGACCAGCCAAGGAAAUCGAAUAAAUUGUGAACCGUUCGGACAGCACCGACGAGAAAGUUGGUAACGACGUAAAAAUCUUGGAACAAUGUAUUCGUAAUGUUUUCCUUUUAAUAGCAAGAGCAAAGCAAAAGAGCCAAUGUCUAAAAUAUGUUAACAAAAUGCAAAUGGACCCGCCUCGUCCGGUUAUGUUUAUUUUUUGUUUUCGUUUCACCUAGCAAUUUUUUUUUUUCUUUAACUUUAUUUUGGUGUUGAAAUGGGGAAAGCUGGCAGUUCUUCUUUCUUAUAAUAAGAAUACCAAAUUUCUCUUUGGCUUUUCUCUAUUCGGGUGCACGUUCUUAUUGUUGUUUUCUUCGUUCAACUCUUACUGCACGAUAGUUUAAGACGUCAAUUCGAAUGCGCAAUCCCUACAGCAUCGGGCUAAUAGCUUUCGUGGCAGAGUUGCUGACCCACACCUGGUAACCUAGAAUCGCUUGACGUGAUCGUUCGCCUCCAGGUCGGCAAAUUUUCUUUUUGCGUGCGAAUAAAAAUGAAAUUAAAAAGUUAACGAAACGAAUCAGGAAACCUUGACAUAUGUUGGUAGCAAUAAAAAAAAAAUUCGACAUUCACACAGUGUGGGACACGUAUAUUUAUUUAAGAAUAAAUUAGUGAAAUAUGUAUUUCGUUUGAUUUCACUUGAAACGCACACAUUUCUCUUUUGUUGCUUUCGUUGUCUAGUAAAAAAAAAAAAAUAAUAACUACAUAUAGGGCGUCGUGAUUUCUUC